This 418-nucleotide long non-coding RNA is filed under the name Brassica napus (rape). RNAcentral describes it as "long non-coding RNA (BNAP_LNC025411)". The record is from RNAcentral. Lineage: Eukaryota; Viridiplantae; Streptophyta; Magnoliopsida; Brassicales; Brassicaceae.
UGAGGGGUGGGGUAGGGUUUUUAGAAUAUGAAAUUUAGAAUUCUAAUAAAUAUAUAAAUAAAUACUUAAAAAUAUAAAAAAAAUUAAAAAUAGCUUCAAACAUAAUUUUCGAUUUUCAAAAAGAAAUUUUGAAAAAAAUCAAAAAACAAAAUAAAAAAAAAAUUUAUAAAAAAGUUCAAAUUUGAAAAAAAGUAUAAUUCGAAAAUAUAAAAAAUUAGAUAAUUUUUUUUAUUUUUUAAUUUAAAUAAUGAUUUAUUAUUAUAUAUAUAGAGAACAAGGGUAUAAGAGUCUUUUGCCACUUAAUGAAGAAAAUAUUUUUGAAAAUUCCCUUUAGUGAUGGUAAAGAUAAAAAGUGAUACCAUAACAGUGGUAUGUUAAUAUUGCUUUAAGAGUAAACUGAAUAUUUUAAAUAUAUAUA